This 82-nucleotide transfer RNA is filed under the name Cyclobacteriaceae bacterium. Its description in RNAcentral is "tRNA-Leu". It matches the Rfam family "tRNA". From Rfam's summary of the family: Transfer RNA (tRNA) molecules are approximately 80 nucleotides in length. Their secondary structure includes four short double-helical elements and three loops (D, anti-codon, and T loops). Lineage: Bacteria; Pseudomonadati; Bacteroidota; Cytophagia; Cytophagales; Cyclobacteriaceae. The record is from RNAcentral.
GCGAUCGUGGUGAAACUGGUAGACACGCUGUCUUCAGGAGGCAGUGCUUCACGGCAUGGGGGUUCGAGUCCCCCCGAUCGCA